RNAcentral lists this transfer RNA (73 nucleotides) under Fasciola hepatica (liver fluke). It matches the Rfam family "tRNA". Rfam says of the family: Transfer RNA (tRNA) molecules are approximately 80 nucleotides in length. Their secondary structure includes four short double-helical elements and three loops (D, anti-codon, and T loops). Further hydrogen bonds mediate the characteristic L-shaped molecular structure. tRNAs have two regions of fundamental functional importance: the anti-codon, which is responsible for specific mRNA codon recognition, and the 3' end, to which the tRNAs corresponding amino acid is attached (by aminoacyl-tRNA synthetases). tRNAs cope with the degeneracy of the genetic code in two manners: having more than one tRNA (with a specific anti-codon) for a particular amino acid; and 'wobble' base-pairing, i.e. permitting non-standard base-pairing at the 3rd anti-codon position. Lineage: Eukaryota; Metazoa; Platyhelminthes; Trematoda; Plagiorchiida; Fasciolidae. The record is from Rfam by way of RNAcentral.
ACCGCGAUAGCUCAGUUGGUAGAGCAUCUGCCUGGUAUGCUGGGGGUUGCCGGUUCGAUUCCGGCUCACGGAG